This 191-nucleotide ribosomal RNA is filed under the name uncultured soil bacterium. RNAcentral describes it as "partial 16S ribosomal RNA". It matches the Rfam family "Bacterial small subunit ribosomal RNA", at positions 27 to 217 of the family's 1533-position model. The record is from RNAcentral.
GAUUGAACGCUGGCGGCAUGCCUUACACAUGCAAGUCGAGCGGCAGCGCGGGGGCAACCCUGGCGGCGAGCGGCGAACGGGUGAGUAAUGCAUCGGAACGUGUCCUCUUGUGGGGGAUAACCAGUCGAAAGAUUGGCUAAUACCGCAUGAGAUCGAGAGAUAGAAAGCGACGGGGACCGACGAACGGCCCU